UUCCUUUCCUUUCAAGAGGCAUUAAUACUUAAGAGAGGUUUAUUCUGUUUGCAAAAUUUAAUUAAAAUUUCCUCCUUUCUCAAGAUACUAAAUCUAUGCUUGUUCUUGGAUUUUAAUAUUUCAAUUCAAAUCAAUAGUGGAGAAUGUAGGUAUUCACACAUUGGUCUAAAUGAUUUUCCUCUACUUUUCCAUCUUUCCAGCAGCUACUUGAACAUUAUCUUCGGGAUCCCCGAGUGUAAAAACAUGUUCUUCUAUCUCCUGCUCCCACAGUUGGCAAAUGAGUCUCUCAUGUUCAGAAAAUGUGGAAAUCAUUCCUAUAGAGUGCAGAAGCUAAACCUCGCCAUGGGAGAACACCUUCCUGAUCAAGCUGAAGAGAGUGACUUGUGCUGCUCUCUUUUGUAUUCCACUGUUACUGCCUGAGGAGGAAGCAACAUUGAAUGGAGGAAGCCCCAAGAGAAGAUUUGGGUAGACUGUAAACACUGUGGAGAAGUAAGUGUUUAGCUUUGCACUAGGUAAGCAGAAUUUCAGCAAGUCAGGAUCAGCAAAUUUGUGUGAUAUUCUAGUAUGCCACUUGCCUUCUGCAGCCACUCAUUAAUUUUCGGAAGCCUGACAGAAUGGCUAAAAGGAUGAUCAAUUUCAAGUGUCACUCCUGGAGUGUUUUUAGUCUUAUGUAAAAGGAGUUCUUGACAAGUAACCCUGUUAAUGCCCUCAAAAUGUCUCCUAUUAUUAAAUAUUGGGAAUAAGCUGAAAUAAUGAAACUAGCUUUUUUUUUCUUUCCUAAUUUUGGUCACCAGAGUGGUUGGUUUAGGAGAUUAUAAGAUUUGUCUAUUACUGAUCAUUAAGUGGGCUCACCAAACACUAGCAAAAUCUUGAGAGAAAUGAACACUUUUCAGGAGAACGACUUUUCUUUAAUGGAUUUGUUUGGAACAAAUGGGAUAUCUCUACUCAUUUUCCAAGUGAUUGCAUAAUAUUAUUACCUAGCAGAUAAAAUCCUCUCUCUCUCCCUCCUUCUCUCUAUCCAUUUUUAUUCUAAUAUGUUACUUUUAUCCAGGGUAGGCAACUGGUGUCCCUGGGGCCCCUGAGUUGCCCGAGGGAGUUGUGGGUGGGACUGGUUGUG
RNAcentral lists this long non-coding RNA (1117 nucleotides) under Vulpes vulpes (red fox). RNAcentral describes it as "lncRNA (ENSVVUG00000016044.1)". The record is from RNAcentral. Lineage: Eukaryota; Metazoa; Chordata; Mammalia; Carnivora; Canidae.